This 112-nucleotide transfer RNA is filed under the name Choiromyces venosus 120613-1. It matches the Rfam family "tRNA". Rfam says of the family: Transfer RNA (tRNA) molecules are approximately 80 nucleotides in length. Their secondary structure includes four short double-helical elements and three loops (D, anti-codon, and T loops). Further hydrogen bonds mediate the characteristic L-shaped molecular structure. tRNAs have two regions of fundamental functional importance: the anti-codon, which is responsible for specific mRNA codon recognition, and the 3' end, to which the tRNAs corresponding amino acid is attached (by aminoacyl-tRNA synthetases). tRNAs cope with the degeneracy of the genetic code in two manners: having more than one tRNA (with a specific anti-codon) for a particular amino acid; and 'wobble' base-pairing, i.e. permitting non-standard base-pairing at the 3rd anti-codon position. The record is from Rfam by way of RNAcentral. Lineage: Eukaryota; Fungi; Ascomycota; Pezizomycetes; Pezizales; Tuberaceae.
GGAAGGAUGGCCGAGUGGUUAUGGCGUGUGACUCAAGCGUCUGCUUCUUCACUUUCUAAAGUGGGGUUUCUCAUGGGCUUUGCCCGCGGGGGUUCGAAUCCCCCUCCUUUCA